This is a long non-coding RNA of Cheilinus undulatus (humphead wrasse), 1245 nucleotides long. RefSeq lists it as uncharacterized. The transcript has 6 exons. The record is from RefSeq and is a predicted model, not a curated record. Lineage: Eukaryota; Metazoa; Chordata; Actinopteri; Labriformes; Labridae.
CAUGGGUGUCUUGCAGCCAGUCAGACAAGGACCUGGACUGAGAGAGGGAGCAGGACUCGCCACAGCCUCACUAACACUGUGACAAAUGAAUGGGGGCAGAAAUGUCCCCAAGUACCUGAACUUCAGGAUGGACGUCACCAUGGCAUGUCAAGGACAUAGUGAACGAUCUGUCAUGUUGCAGAGAAGUGAUGACCUAUCUGCAUUACGUGGAGCUUUGGACCUCCACGUUGCUGUGAUGAGCAUGAUUGCCUUGCAGUUGGACAAAGACCUGGGCUGAGAGAGGGAGCAGAAUCUCUCUACUGUUGUGAGUUAAGACCAUUGACACGGAGAGGGAGACUGCCCUUUUAAACCUCUGAACACACGAAGGAGGAAAAGCAACAACCUUGAUAAGAAGUGACUUCCAAGGCGACCUUGACAUGCAUUCAUGCUGUCCAGAGUUCCCUGCAGCGCUGCAUUCCCUCAUCGCAGUGAAUUGUUUUGGGAAUUAUCCCUAAAUGCUUUCCUGGAGGUCCAGAACCGGAGCCCUGAACUUCUCAUGCCAGUGGGUCCUUCAACUCAGAAGAGGAAGAGACACCAAGGAUGGCGGAGAGGCCUUUGUUCAAGCCGAGGAAUGGAAAACAUUCCCCUCCUCGUCCACAUACAGGCACUGGACCACAGAACCAGUGAUGCACUCUGCUGUUGUGUGAUGGACUUCAUGUGACGAUGAAGAACCUUGAUGCAAUACCAGGUUCUUUUGAAGAGGAUGGAGUGGUGAUUUAUGAUGAUGACACGCUCAGAUCAGUAAGCGUCCUCUGGAUGUGUAGUCCUUCUUCGAUAACACUACACUAAAAAAAAAAAAAAAAAACAAGACAAGGACGCUGCCUCCUGCAUGAGUAUCAUGGAAUGACUACCUGGACUAGGAGGGCAUGGGUCCCUCUUUUUAAAAAGGCCAGACAUCCACUCUGGUUUCCCAGCAGACUGUUGCAGUAACUGUGUGCACUUAGGACAAGUAGCGUUAAAAAUGGCAGCAAAAACUGGGCAUGCAGGCUUGUUCAGCCCUUUAACGCUUUUUUGCUUAACUCUUAAAAUUUAAAGUUAUGUCACAGGAAUAAAACAUCUGUGAGAUAUUAGAGGCCAGUAAGUUGGUAGCAAAGACAGAAAAAUGCUUCAUUUAAACAUUCUCUCCUGUAGGCCACAUAAAUAAGAAAACUCAAGACAUUUUCCAGUCCACAUGUUCUUUGGUUCACAAAAGGCUCUCAGUCUUUA